UUGUACGUAUUUAUCAAAAACUGAAAAAUUUACGGUUUUUGAGAAAAAUCGAAAUUUCGGUAUUUUACCAUUAACAUGUACUUUAUUAAAUCGAAAAUCUUGCAUAACUUUUUUGUUAUUAACGAUAGAGCCUUCAUUUAAAAAGUGUCAAGUGCUCCUUGUAAAGGGGCAUCUUGUACGUAUUUAUUAUAAACUGAAAAAUUUACGGUUUUUGAGAAAAAUCGAAAUUUCGGUAUUUUACCAUUAACAUGUACUUUAUUAAAUCGAAAAUCUUGCAUAACUUUUUUGUUAUUAAAGAUAGAGCCUUCAUUUAAAAGGUGUCAAGUGCUCCUUGUAAAGGGGCAUCUUGUACGUAUUUAUUAUAAACUGAAAAAUUUACAGUUUUUAAGAAAAAUCGAAAUUUCGGUAUUUUACCAUUAACAUGUACUUUAUUAAAUCGAAAAUCUUGCAUAACUUUUUUGUUAUUAAAGAUAGAGCCUUCAUUUAAAAGGUGUCAAGUGCUCCUUGUAAAGGGGCAUCUUGUACGUAUUUAUUAUAAACUGAAAAAUUUACAGUUUUUAAGAAAAAUCGAAAUUUCGGUAUUUUACCAUUAACAUGUACUUUAUUAAAUCGAAAAUCUUGCAUAACUUUUUUGUUAUUAAAGAUAGAGCCUUCAUUUAAAAGGUGUCAAGUGCUCCUUGUAAAGGGGCAUCUUGUACGUAUUUAUUAAAAACUGAAAAAUUUACAGUUUUUGAGAAAAAUCGAAAUUUCGGUAUUUUACCAUUAACAUGUACUUUAUUAAAUCGAAAAUCUUGCAUAACUUUUUUUGU
This 809-nucleotide long non-coding RNA is filed under the name Anthonomus grandis grandis. Its description in RNAcentral is "uncharacterized LOC126749793". The record is from RNAcentral. Lineage: Eukaryota; Metazoa; Arthropoda; Insecta; Coleoptera; Curculionidae.